This 89-nucleotide non-coding RNA is filed under the name uncultured Sediminibacterium sp. RNAcentral describes it as "TPP riboswitch (THI element)". The stretch from base 3 to 82 matches the Rfam family "TPP riboswitch aptamer (THI element)", at positions 8 to 91 of the family's 105-position model. From Rfam's summary of the family: Vitamin B(1) in its active form thiamin pyrophosphate (TPP) is an essential coenzyme that is synthesised by coupling of pyrimidine and thiazole moieties in bacteria. The previously detected thiamin-regulatory element, thi box was extended, resulting in a new, highly conserved RNA secondary structure, the THI element, which is widely distributed in eubacteria and also occurs in some archaea. Analysis of operon structures identified a large number of new candidate thiamin-regulated genes, mostly transporters, in various prokaryotic organisms. Lineage: Bacteria; Pseudomonadati; Bacteroidota; Chitinophagia; Chitinophagales; Chitinophagaceae. The record is from RNAcentral.
UUCCUCGGGGUGCUAAGUGUGCAAACACUGGCUGAGAAAAUACCCGUUGAACCUGAACAGGGUAAUGCCUGCGAAGGGAAGGUGUACUG